AGAAACUUAGGUUCACUCAAACCAAGGGCCUUCAAAGCCCUAAACAGGGGAACAUCCCCUAGCUUCUG
RNAcentral lists this transfer RNA (68 nucleotides) under Coleonyx elegans. Its description in RNAcentral is "tRNA-Trp". Lineage: Eukaryota; Metazoa; Chordata; Lepidosauria; Squamata; Eublepharidae. The record is from RNAcentral.